CAUAUCAAUAAGCGGAGGAAAAGAAACCAACAGGGAUUGCCCUAGUAACGGCGAGUGAAGCGGCAAUAGCUCAAAUUUGAAAUCUGGCUUUGGCCCGAGUUGUAAGUUGCAGAGAGAAGUUUCUGGCAAGGCGCCUUCUGAGUCCACUGGAACGUGGCGCCCUAGAGGGUGAGAGCCCCGUAUAGUUGGAUGCCAAGCCUGUGUGAAGCUCCUUCGACGAGUCGAGUAGUUUGGGAAUGCUGCUCUAAAUGGGAGGUAAAUUCCUUCUAAAGCUAAAUAUGGGCCCGAGACCGAUAGCGCACAAGUAGAGUGAUCGAAAGAUGAAAAGUACUUUGAAAAGAGAGUCAAAUAGCACGUGAAAUUGUUGAAAGAGAAGGAUUUGUGACCAGACUUGUGCUGCGCGGAUCUCCCGGUGUUCUCACCGGUGUACUCCGCGCGGUUCAGGCCAGCAUCGGUUUCCGAUGGGGGACAAAAGCAGUGGGAACGUAGCUCCCACGGGAGCGUUAUAGCCCGCCGCAGAAUACCCCAUUGGGGACCGAGGCCCGCGUUUUCACGGAUGCUGGCAUAAUGGUGACUAAUCACCCGUCUUGAACCCCCGGACCAUUUUUCCCUCCGCUGUU
Molecule: ribosomal RNA, 620 nt
Filed under: Telimena bicincta
Lineage: Eukaryota; Fungi; Ascomycota; Sordariomycetes; Phyllachorales; Telimenaceae
Description: eukaryotic LSU rRNA
Rfam family: Eukaryotic large subunit ribosomal RNA
Source: RNAcentral